GAUGAACGCUAGCGGCAGGCUUAACACAUGCGAGUCGAGGGGCAGCGCGGGAUAGCAAUAUCCUGGCGGCGACCGGCGGAAGGGUGCGUAACGCGUGAGCGACAUGCCCGUUGCCCGGGGACAACCGGUGGAAACGCCGACUAAUCCCCGAUGGGAUAUUGUGCCGCAUGGCACGAUAUUGAAAGUUACGGCGGCGACGGAUUGGCUCGCGUCCGAUUAGCUUGUUGGCGGGGUAACGGCCCACCAAGGCUGCGAUCGGUAGGGGUUCUGAGAGGAAGGCCCCCCACAAUGGGACUGAGACACGGCCCAUACUCCUACGGGAGGCAGCAGUGAGGAAUAUUGGUCAAUGGGCGGAAGCCUGAACCAGCCAUGCCGCGUGCGGGAAGGAGGCCCUAUGGGCUGUGAACCGCUUUUGCCUGGGGGCAAUAAGGGCGUCGCGCACGUCCGAUGAGAGUACCAGGCGAAUAAGCAUCGGCUAACUCCGUG
This 486-nucleotide ribosomal RNA is filed under the name uncultured bacterium. RNAcentral describes it as "partial 16S ribosomal RNA". It matches the Rfam family "Bacterial small subunit ribosomal RNA", at positions 28 to 507 of the family's 1533-position model. The record is from RNAcentral.